Long non-coding RNA from Suricata suricatta (meerkat), 371 nucleotides. RefSeq lists it as uncharacterized. The record is from RefSeq and is a predicted model, not a curated record. The transcript is spliced from 3 exons. Lineage: Eukaryota; Metazoa; Chordata; Mammalia; Carnivora; Herpestidae.
UUCAUCCCUCCAAACCUCACUUUCCUCCAUCUGCAGAAUGGAAAUAAUGUGGCUGUUUAUUCUGCAGGGUUGUGAUGAAGAUUAAAGAAGAUGAGGUGAAGAAAAUGGGAAAAUGAAGGCAGAGAAAAGAAGAGCUUUAGGAACUUGAAAAAGAAGAGAAAACCAGAAGAAGCUGUUCCCCACAUUGUUUACUUAUGAAGUCUAACAAGCCCGCAGACUAGGAACAGAAGGGGGUCCCAUCCAGUGAUUCAAGAGUUUCCUGUGUUACUCAGUGCUCCUCAAGAGAACGCACUCUUAAUCCCCUUCACCCAUCACUUCCGCUUCCUCGCCCACUUCCGCUCUGGUAACCACCAGUUUGUUCUCUGUAGUUA